Long non-coding RNA from Felis catus (domestic cat), 2941 nucleotides. RefSeq lists it as uncharacterized. The transcript has 3 exons. NCBI's taxonomy places the organism in Eukaryota, Metazoa, Chordata, Mammalia, Carnivora, Felidae. The record is from RefSeq and is a predicted model, not a curated record.
ACUGACAGACCCACGUCUGAUUACUGCAAAUUACCCAGGGCCACCUAUAACCCCAGUCCUUUUCUCCAACUAAGACUAAAAGGCCUGAGGGACCCCAAGAUUGAACCAUGAAAUGUCAUUAACUGAAUGUCAGUCCUCACAGCUCCCAGAACUAAUUAUAGAGCUAGGAGUGGCUGGGGCCAGACCCCUCUGAUAUAAAAAGAUUUUAUGAAAGGCAAAGGGGGAGGCAACAAUAAUUCUCACCCUAUUAUAUUCCUUUCAAUUAUUUACAGUAAUAGGCACUGGUGGUGAACAAAUAUAGAGACUGGAAUCCAGUGAGGUCACACGGGUGUUCUGGAAGCCAGUGAUGCCGUACUGGAAUCUGGGGACACCAUGAGGCAAUGUUUCAGCUGCCCCUGCAUUCCUCACCUCCCAUUGUUUCUGUCUCUCUCUCUCCAUCUCCCUUCCCCCCACCACCAAGAGCACAGACCCCACAGUGAGAAUUCUAAGCUUCAUUCCACAUCCAGGACCAGCAAAGAUCCACCAUCAGGGUUUUAACAAAACAUUCACAUUUAUUCUCCUGAGCACAACAGGAAAUGAAUGCUGGGUGAAUGCAAAGCCAGCAUGGUGAAUGUGCCCUGCAGAUCACCUGGGUGUCACCUGACCAUGACAAAGCCCUUGAACAAAAGCUCAGUAGCACCAAGAUCUGUGUGCUCCUCCAUGUUUCCCAGCCUUGCUGGUUGACACCUACCUCAGCUGACUGGCUUCUGGCUAAUGAAAUAUGAACAGAGAUACAAGCCACCUGAGGCCUGCCCUUCGAAACAUCCUCCAGCUGUUUUUUCCAUGGCGUCCUUAGAUGCCUCAUAUGCCACAUUUAUCAGAUCACCUGAUACCUCCAAGCAACCAGGUGUUUCUUUCAGAAGCCAGAAGCUGAUAACCUGGACCCACUAAUCUAACCCCCCAGUCCAUGUUCUUUGUAGUGGAAGACUGACAGCGGAGAUUCUUUCUCCUGGGAGUGCUCCUGCAUGACUGCAUCUACUUAACCCACUCUCCAAGAUCUAGAAUCAGAUUUCAACCAUAUGGAAUCAUCCACGGUGCAGCAGAUGGGUUUACAAGUCUCUUGGUCUCUUCGUGUAACUAACAGCCAAGAAGUCUGAAGCUUGCAUUGUUUACAUGGAAGAUGUUUCUUGCUCUUCUCUUGCCCAUUCCCACGCCAUACCAUCUGAACUUGCCACCUUUUUUUUUUGUUUGUUCAGUGCAGUUCUUUAACUUUGUGGGGUCCUCUUCACAUGGACUCCAUUCCACUAUAAGUGGCUACUUCCCUGUGAGUUUAGAUGUAUGAUUUAGAGAUUUUUCAUAGUUGAUGCCUGAAUUAUGUUUCACAACCACCCUAGGAAGUAAGGAAGGCCUGUAUUGUUCCCCUCUUACCAGUAAAGAACCUGAGAUGCAGAGAGACUUACUACUGAGUGACACUGCAGGAGUUCAGAUGGCUCAUCUGACUCCAAGCCCAGUGCUUUUUUUUUUUUUUGAUGGCACACUCUCUUUUCUCCAAGGAAGCAAACUGCCUAGAGCUAGAGGGAACUUCAAGAGAGAUUUCCAUCUUACAGUGAGAAAGCAAAGACUCAGAGAAGGCACUGAGGGGACUUCCCCAAGGCCAUUCUUGUCUUUGCCAUUAUUCCAUCUUCGACCCUCAGAAACCUCCAUGUGAGCUACCUCUAUGUACCUGGCCUGCAUUUUGCUAGGGAGUUGGGAGACACAAAAGAAAUUUGAGAAAUUUUCUGACAAUUAAGGAAUUUACUAACAAGCCAUGGAGAUAAAAUUAAUGUAUUAAAAUCCUUAAAACAAAUAAGGGGACAUGGGAGGCACUCUCUCCAAGACUGAAAUUUUUUAACCCUGAAUUCAAGUCUGUUCUCAUUGUUCAAGGUUUGGAAGUAUGAUCCACAUGAUAGAUUUAAGUUCAAGCCCUUCCUGACCGAUCAUGUUCUGAAUUCCCACAGUGACCACCUGUGUCACUUUUCUAGCUCAUGUGGGCAAGAUGGUCUUCCUCCUGUUUUAGUGGGAACAGGAAGGACUCAGUGAGGAGGAAGCCAGGAAAAGAUUGUAGUCUUUAGUAGCAUUUUUUCAUGGGUGCUGCAGCCUUCUCAAAGAAAAUAACUUAUUGGGUUAGCUUUCUGUUUUUCCUUAAUCAAGUAAACCUACUUCCUACUUAGCACAAUACUUCUAAAGGGGAAUUAGGCAUUUUACCUAAUGGCUGCUGAAGGAACCUGUGCUUUGCUCUCCCACUUGCCCUGGGAAAGGGCAUUUAUCAUGUUCUAAGGCCUUCAAGACUUCCAGGUUGUCCUGGAGCCCAGAAGAUAUGGCUGCCUAAGGCCAGGUCAUCAUGGCAUCCCAGUAAUGAUACUUUUCUCACACUCCUUGAUUGUCAGAUGGCAUCUCAUAAGACUGUCUACUUAGAGUUUCUUGGGCUGACAGAGGUGGCCCUUGGAUAGGUGAUGGCCACAUGCUGGCCUGGCCCCAACCUUCUGUUGUAGUACUCUGUCUGCUAAGGCAGAGAGCUGAGCUGGUGCAAUUUUAUGCUCUCUAAACACAUUUACCAGAGCCACCUGGUCCUCAAGAGAGGUAAGAUGGAUUCAAAGUGAAGGAAGGCUCUAGGUCCAUAAUCCAAUUUGGAACCCAAAACAAAGGAAGAGAAAAGAUGGUGAGGAUUCUGUAGCUUCAUGGUGUUGAGGCUUUGAGAACCCCCAAAUAAUGGUGUUGAGGCUUUGAGAACCCCCAAAUAAUGACACACACUAUGGGAGUACUGCACCAGUCAAGUUCCAGAGGCUGUGCCAUGUGGCAUUUGAAGUGAAUAAAAGCUGGUCAUGCACUCUUUCUCUUCCACCUACCUACUAUAUGAUCUUGGAUUGGUUAUUUUUUUAAGUGGUUUUCUUUGUUUUUGAGAGAGACAGACAGAUAUACAGAC